Molecule: long non-coding RNA, 2525 nt
Organism: Bos taurus (domestic cattle)
Lineage: Eukaryota; Metazoa; Chordata; Mammalia; Artiodactyla; Bovidae
Source: Ensembl
CUGAUGAUGGGCUGGGGGUUCUCCUAGGUGUGCUCAGGAUUUUUUUUUCAUGUGGGAUUUAAGAAGCUGCAUGCACUUAAGUGAGAGUGGAAAGGAAAACGUAACUGCUGGUCAGUCAGCCAUCACAGACUCACUCCUCCCGUGGUUACUUCCUGAAUUAAGCCAAGACACUGGGAAGUGGCCCUGAAAUGAUCCAGUUGGGAGGUGGAGCAGUAGGAUUACCAGAUUUAGCAAACAAAAAUGCAGGCUGUCCAGUUACAUGAGAGUUUCAGGAAAAUUUUGUUAAGUAUGUCCUAUGUCCCAUGUAAUAUUGGGGACAGAUUUAGACUAAAAUACCAUUCAUUGUCCAUCUGAAAUUCAGACUUAACUGUUCUCCUGCAUUUUAUCUGGCAACACUAGUUGGGGGUACAGAUGAGAUAAAACAGUGAGCAACAGCCCCUGAGGUCAGUGGCUGGAGCAGAACCAGAUGGAGCUGGUGGGGCAGGUGGAGGUAGAGGGGACUGUAGGCCUCCAGUGGGAGACACAGGCUCCUACCAUAUACCCGGGUGUGUGUGGGGGGGCACGUUGCUGCAGUCAUCUGUGACCCUGGACCCUGAAGGGCUUCUGCUUCCACUUCUAUCUGGAGGAUGGUGUCUUCAGCCUCCUCAGCCACAAUGGGGUCCCAUGGGCCUGGCUCUGAGGAGACUAAGGGCACAGGAGACAUCCAAUCAGAGGGACUGAACUGCCUCUUUCUGUCACAGGAAUGCCUGCUCUUGUCCCCAGAAGGGGACCUGUGUGGACAUGGGGUGGGGGAAGGAUGAGGGGCAAGGAAACCUCCCCACCCACAAACCCCCUCCCAACCUGGAAGGCUUUCCAACAGGGCCCUCAGAUGACCUGACGUUUCUGGAUAGCCAGGCAUGGGCAUGCCCAUUGGGCUCGUCACAGCGGCUCUUGGACACUCCGGUCAUCCACCACUCAGUGACAAGCUGCCCUAAACUCGGUGAUGCUGAGCCAUCCCAUCCCCUUCAUCUCACUCAGCUUGUGCGGGUCGGGGUCACACAGGCAUGGGGGUGUCCCUGCUCCAUCCCCUGGGUGACCAGACCCAAGGGGCCAGCCUGCAGGUGUCCAGAGGCUCUAGGAGGAGGCCCAGGAGCCAGGCCAGGUCCCACCAACCCCAGGUCAGCCGGCACCACCUCCCCUGCACAGGAUGGGUCGGAGCAGGUCCAAGGGGAAGGGACCAGGACUCGUCCUCCAGGGAGCAUCUGAGGAUGGUGGCUGUGGUGUAAACCCCCACUAUUUAACCUUACAGCAAUGAAAUAUGAGUGCAAGAAACACGCUCACUUUUCUAAAACAAGUAGCUGCUUUAAAGACUUUAGAAUGACUUCAGAAAGGUAAGUGGCUUAAAAAAUACAUGGUCAAAUGAGGUAAAAGGCUGAGAAAAUAUAUGCAAGAACCUGGGCCAUGUGCCGCUCUGCCAGAGAGGCUGCCCAUUUCAGGCCCGUUUCUCCAAGGGGCUGGGGUGCCAGCAGCAGCACAGGGUGGGGGGUACCCCACAGGUCCCUGCAGAAAGCACCACUCAGAUAGCAAGACAUGGACACCCCUGAGUGCUGGGGCCACAGGCAGGUGGGCCAACUGGCCCAGGUAAUGGGGCCCCUGGAGCGCUGCCAGUCCCUGAAAGCCUGACACAGCAGGCAGCAUGCUAACCUCCGCAGGACGCCUACCCAGCCUGCCCUCCCUCGAGCUUCCAGAAGGAAAACAAGAGAAGCAAUUACUGCUUAACAGGCAAGUACUGUGUCUGGACUCUGGGGAGCCACAUAAUUGGUGAGAGUGGUUGCUGGUGAGGCAGGACCCCUGGGGGCCACAGCCUGAGCUCCCAAAAACCUGGUGGGGGAGGGGAGGAAGGCAGGGAGGCAGAAAGAGACAGAGAUACUCCUGUGUGCAGGAACCCAGGCAGUAGGGAGCAGCCCCCACCCACAUCCAGCCCACUGCUCCGUGCUGGGACGCCUGCGUCUGGUAGACAGUAGGUGCUCAAUAAAUGCUGGCCAAGCAGGAAAGCAACACACACAGGCACAGAAUCCCAUGCCUGUGGAGGGGGAUGGGCUGUGGGGGGGUGGCGCCCAGGACACCAACAAGACACCUGCUGCCCAGGGGGACGUUUCUGGGGCCUGCCCAUGUCAGAGACAGCAGUGACAGGUACAGGUGGGGGACCCGAGGCUGACGCCCGGUUGGUGUCAGUUGACAGUGGCCACUGGACGCCUGGCAGCUUCAUGUGUCAUGUUCUAAAGCAGAGUCCUCAGAUCCUGGACCCUCUGAACUGGGACCUAGGGGUCCUUGGGGUCCUGAGGGGCGGCACUUGCCGUGGUUCUGCCUGGGGCAGGCCCCCAAAGCAUAGUUCCAGGGUGGUGGUGUCUAAGAACACCCAGCGAAGGUCUGGAGCACAUGGCUGCUCUGUCACUGGCAAGAGGAUAGCAUGGCUUUCCUGUAAGUUCCUCAGGAAUCCACUGACAUUUUGCACAGGAGAAGAAACCAUAAACAAAACGAAAGAC